CUGCAAAUAUUCUUGCUGUUCUGAUUUUGUAACAAUCAAUUCAACGUUUGCCAUAUUAAGACCAUGCAUGUGUUCCCAGACCUAAUUCUUUCCCUAGGUCUGGUUUUAUAAAGUGCUGGUGAUAAAA
Small nucleolar RNA from Zalophus californianus (California sea lion), 127 nucleotides. Its record names the gene SNORA72. It matches the Rfam family "Small nucleolar RNA SNORA72". Rfam says of the family: U72 is a member of the H/ACA class of snoRNAs. The snoRNA gene is located in intron 4 of the ribosomal L30 protein gene in human, mouse and chicken. The record is from Ensembl. NCBI's taxonomy places the organism in Eukaryota, Metazoa, Chordata, Mammalia, Carnivora, Otariidae.